RNAcentral lists this long non-coding RNA (460 nucleotides) under Nicotiana benthamiana. Its description in RNAcentral is "long non-coding RNA (NBEN_LNC016089)". Lineage: Eukaryota; Viridiplantae; Streptophyta; Magnoliopsida; Solanales; Solanaceae. The record is from RNAcentral.
GUUGAGUAAAGUGUCUUAGUCCUCUCAUCCCCAAUUCUGAGUCUAGCUUCUCAUCCCCUUCUCGGGUUCUCUCCUGUCUUACUUAGCUUCUUCAUUUGCAUUUCCAUUAGUGUUGUUCUACUUCUUUGAGCUGUAAUCGUUAGUUACUACCAUCAAUGUAAUCUGUAUUUUGGAAUUGUUACAUAGAGAACUUUGACAUUAUUUAAUUCCAAUAGGAAUUGGUUUAUUCAUGCUUUCAAAUUAAAGCUUCAUCUCAAAUGACUUAUACACGGUCAUUCCAUAAAUAGGGCUGUUUUUAAUUCCAACUUGGCAAUGUAAGAGCUUUAGAAUCCUUGCUGGUGACGCUCGGAUUACCCCAGAUGUGUUACUUAGAGGUAGAAUUUCUCUUUCUUUCCCCUUCCCCUUGUUCUGCCUUUCUGGAAUAAACUGAACUCUUUUACUUGUGUGAUAGUCCUUACCC